CACAUUUUACAGAGUACGGCUUAUCUGUUUGCGAUGCGAUGUACCAAUCGACCAUUAGAUUUAUCGAAACCCUUUGAUAUUAUUGAAAAUAUGCCGAGGCGAUGUAUUCGACAGACUACCAGAGCCAAUCACCCUGAAAACACGCCAAAACAGCAUUGGAAAGUCUCAUUAUAUUUUGCGUUCACACACGUAGACCAUAUGAUAAUGGAAUUGGAGAGUAGAGGGUGUCUGGUAUUAUCAGAAAAUAGCUUCUUUGUGUCGUAUCUGCUUCCUCGUGUUGUAGGAAAUAUAACCAACGAAUAAUUCUCAACAUUGUCUGAGACAUACAAAAUGACCUGGCAUGUAUUUGGCGGACAAUUUCAAUCGGGAGGUCGCUCGAUGGAGAACACGUACGCUGGUUUAUAACAUCUCGCGAGUGCUACCAUGCAGAUCUAUCAGUGUAUUAAGUCUGUUGAAAACAAAUGUACGAUCAACAAUGAACAACGACAGGUUAUCAUCGCUAGCAUUACUGCAUAUUGAUCGGGAUUUCAGUGUGAAUGUUGACAAAGUAAUAGAGAAGUUCGUUUCUGCUUAGACCCGAAGAGCAGAUUUUGGUCAAUGUUGAGUAAAUUCUGUAAUUCAAAAAUGUGUUGUUUAUGUAUUAAAUUAACCAUGAUUUACUCUAUUCAGAAGAUUCAAGUAUUAAUAGUUUUACGUUCAUAAAUUGUUUAUAAGUCCUAUCUACAUGUAGCUCCUCUUUAAACCGUCCUAUGACCGAAAACCGAAAAAAAAACAUUUUUUCUGCAUUAAACUCGGCGGUAGUUGCUUGCACAUCGUUUUCUUCUAGCUACGCC
This 833-nucleotide long non-coding RNA is filed under the name Mytilus galloprovincialis (Mediterranean mussel). Lineage: Eukaryota; Metazoa; Mollusca; Bivalvia; Mytilida; Mytilidae. The record is from RNAcentral.